CAGGUAAUUAUUUGUCAUUCAACUUAAGCACUCAAAGUAACAAACUAUAAGAAAUGGCAUUCAAGUCUUGGAUCAUUCCGGGGUUACUAAUUGUUCUAAUGACCGUUUCGAUUUUGGAAGUUCACAGUCAAGGACUGAAUCAUCCAUGUGAGCUCCCAGGUGGUUUAAUUGUCCCAGCGACUAUUUGCCAAGUAAAAUGUGAUGAUUUUAGUAUGUCACACGGAAGUUGCGAUCGAGGCUUGAAGUGUUGCUCUAACAAGUAGUGGUUUCAUCACAAAGAACUAGUUUUGGCGAUUCAAAUUUGGUCGAAAAUUAAAAAGGACUACAAUACAGCAGAAGUCAUACUCCAAAUCAGUUUAUAACCAACUUUCGUCUCCGAAUAAAUAAAAAUCACAAAUUUA
Long non-coding RNA from Bradysia coprophila, 401 nucleotides. RefSeq lists it as uncharacterized. The record is from RefSeq and is a predicted model, not a curated record. Lineage: Eukaryota; Metazoa; Arthropoda; Insecta; Diptera; Sciaridae.